CUACGGAGGGUGCAAGCGUUGUUCGGAAUUAUUGGGCGUAAAGAGCAUGUAGGCGGACUGUUAAGUCUGGUGUGAAAGCCCGGGGCUCAACCCCGGAAGUGCAUUGGAUACUGGCAGUCUUGAGUAUGGGAGAGGAAAGUGGAAUUCCGAGUGUAGGAGUGAAAUCCGUAGAUAUUCGGAGGAACACCAGUGGCGAAGGCGGCUUUCUGGACCAAUACUGACGCUGAGAUGCGAAAGCGUGGGGAGCGAACAGGAUUAGAAACCCCAGUAGUCC
This 274-nucleotide ribosomal RNA is filed under the name uncultured bacterium. Its description in RNAcentral is "partial 16S ribosomal RNA". It matches the Rfam family "Bacterial small subunit ribosomal RNA", at positions 523 to 796 of the family's 1533-position model. The record is from RNAcentral.